RNAcentral lists this transfer RNA (87 nucleotides) under bacterium. RNAcentral describes it as "tRNA-Ser". It matches the Rfam family "tRNA". Rfam says of the family: Transfer RNA (tRNA) molecules are approximately 80 nucleotides in length. Their secondary structure includes four short double-helical elements and three loops (D, anti-codon, and T loops). RNAcentral also lists the same sequence under 2 other names. The record is from RNAcentral.
GGAGGGAUGGCUGAGAGGUUUAAGGCAUCCGGUUGCUAACCGGACGAUCGAAAGAUCCGAUAGGUUCGAAUCCUUCUCCCUUCGCCA